RNAcentral lists this ribosomal RNA (116 nucleotides) under Pogona vitticeps (central bearded dragon). The record is from RNAcentral. Lineage: Eukaryota; Metazoa; Chordata; Lepidosauria; Squamata; Agamidae.
CACAUGGAGCAUAGCUUCUGAAAUCAAGCUUAUUUGAUUUCAGAAGCUAAGCAGGAUCAGGCCUGGUUGGUACUGGAAUAGGAGACCACCAUGGAACACUGAAGAUCUCCUGGUAG